UGGGGAAUAUUGGACAAUGGGCGCAAGCCUGAUCCAGCAAUGCCGCGUGUGUGAAGAAGGUCUUCGGAUUGUAAAGCACUUUCGACGGGGACGAUGAUGACGGUACCCGUAGAAGAAGCCCCGGCUAACUUCGUGCCAGCAGCCGCGGUAAUACGAAGGGGGCUAGCGUUGCUCGGAAUGACUGGGCGUAAAGGGCGCGUAGGCGGAUGGCACAGUCAGAUGUGAAAUUCCCGGGCUUAACCUGGGGGCUGCAUUUGAUACGUGUGAUCUAGAGUGAGGAAGAGGGUUGUGGAAUUCCCAGUGUAGAGGUGAAAUUCGUAGAUAUUGGGAAGAACACCGGUGGCGAAGGCGGCAACCUGGUCCUUGACUGACGCUGAGGCGCGAAAGCGUGGGGAGCAAACAGGAUUAGAUACCCGCGUAGUCC
RNAcentral lists this ribosomal RNA (424 nucleotides) under uncultured bacterium. RNAcentral's name for it is "bacterial SSU rRNA". It matches the Rfam family "Bacterial small subunit ribosomal RNA", at positions 355 to 796 of the family's 1533-position model. The record is from RNAcentral.